AUUGAACGCUGGCGGCGUGCCUAACACAUGCAAGUCGAACGAGCGGCGCACGGGUGAGUAAUGUAUGGGGACUGCCCGCUAGAUGGGGAAAACCAGUGAGAACGGUAGCUAAUAACGCCUACUAUCGGAUAACCCAUAUUGGAUUAGCUAGUAGGUGCGGUAAUGGCUCACCUAGGCGACGAUCCCUAGCUGGUCUGAGAGGAUGAUCAGCAACACGGGUACGGAGACACGGACCAGAUUCGAAGGGAGGCACGAGUGGGGAAUAUUCGACAGUGGGCGGAAGGCUGAUGUAGCCAAUGCGCGUGUAUGAGAAAGGCCCUAGCGGUGUAAAGGACGUUCAUUCGGGAGGCGUUACCUACAGAAGAAGCACCGGCUAACUCCGUGCCAGCAGCCGCGGUAAUUC
Molecule: ribosomal RNA, 403 nt
Filed under: uncultured bacterium
Lineage: Bacteria
Description: partial 16S ribosomal RNA
Rfam family: Bacterial small subunit ribosomal RNA
Source: RNAcentral